Long non-coding RNA from Lagopus leucura (white-tailed ptarmigan), 2283 nucleotides. RefSeq lists it as uncharacterized. The record is from RefSeq and is a predicted model, not a curated record. The transcript has 3 exons. Lineage: Eukaryota; Metazoa; Chordata; Aves; Galliformes; Phasianidae.
UGAUAGACCUGCUGGCAUCUGGAGUAGGAGGAUGGGAUCUUGGAUGGGCAAGAGGACCACCAUGUCCCUGGCCACCAGCACCGUUCAGUCAGUGUGUGUGCUGAGCACAACAGAGCCCUGCAAAGGCCCUCAUUUGAGGGUGGCUCAGACUAACAGCCUUACUUUUGAAGUCUGAGCCAGGAAACAAGCCCCACAUCCUGAGAUCAAUGCCAGGUGAGCACCCGGCUCAGGAAAGUAACAGUGAAAAACCAGUAUCCAUUGCCAUGAAUGGAAUAAGUUAAAAAUCAUACCAAGCAAUGGCCACUCCGGUGAAGUCACAACCUGCUGGCAGGGACUCUGCAAGGAAAAAAAGCAUCUAAAUCCAUUGGAUAAAUUAUCUGUUGCAAAUUAUUUAUCCAGCUCUAAUUAGUAAUCUUCAUUUUACACAGUAGGCCUCUAGUGACCUGCUUGACAACUAUGAUGCCUGACAGACAGUAGGGAUUUGCAUGAAAAUGAGUGUUGUUUCCUCCCUUCGAAGCCAUAAAACAGCAGCAGCAAGGAUGCUCUGCUUUGCUGUGCAGAAGUGGGAUAACCAUGCAGCAAGCUCUGGGUGAAAGGAGAUAAUUCAGCUGUGUGUGAGGAAACAGAGAAAGAAGGAAGCACUAAUCUGAACCAGAAAUAACAGCACCCAGUGCACAAACAAGCCUAAUCAGAUCGGUUGCUAAGUGGAGUCAUGUGAAUAGCAGAUGAUGGAGCAGAAGCACAAGAUAGAGCUCAAUGAAAGCAUGGGGACCUGGCACAGAGAGGGCUUGCAGUCUUUUCUGUGAUUGAAUUAACUUUUGCCUUUUUAUAGGGAGGAUUUUUGAAUUUUGGACCUGUUUCAAGAGUGUUACCAUGUCCUGUCUGCCCAUGAUUGACAGGGUUUGGCUCUUUGUCUGCCUUGUAUUUCCUGGAUUCAUACAGACGAUGCUCUUGCCAGUCAGUAGGGCUCAGAUAAGGUUAAAAAGAGCAAGAGAAAACCAGGAGAAGACCAGAAGUCUGUCCCCCUGCAGUUCUAAGGCCUUCUUUCUUUCCCAGAGAGCUGCAGUAUUUUUGGUGAUUUCAGCAGUGUUUUGCCCAGCACAGCCCAGCACUUCUUGAGCUUCGACAGCUCAGUGCACCUGGAAUUUAUUACUUGGCAAAGCUGGCAACUUCUCUCAACUGGGAAGGUGUUCUGGAGGUGGGGAUUUAUCCUUCCUUUCCUUCUGGACAACUCACUGCAGUGAAUCCAGGAGUGGUCAGGGCAGCUGGGAUCAGGAAUAACAUUGCAUCAAUUCAUGAAGAAAAAAGUGGGUUGUAGUUGCUGGUCAUCCUGUUCACUUUGAUUUUUCAUUUAGCAAUUUGGCAAAUGAUCUUCCCAGCACAGAAGAUAAGACAUGGAAGAACCCACCUCCAGCUGCUUCCUUGUGGAUUGAUCCCAUUCCUCUGUCACGUGUUGCUGAUCUGAGUUCGUGCUAGCUGGAUGUACUGAGCACACAGUAUGUGUCAUCUGGGUUGGCCUCUGCCCCCCGAGCUGCUGGCAGGGCUCAUUGCUGGGAGCGCACCAUCCUGAGUGAGCAGUGCAGCAGCAGUAGCCAUGGGUUUACAACCUCACGGACUUGCUAUCAAAACACAUGGGUCGCUCUGGGGACUGAUGCAUUUGGCACCUGGAUGUACCCCCUGGGCUGCAAAGAGCGCAGGGGAAGGCCCACUGCAAAAUGAGGAGCCCCUGCUCAGAUCGUGGGCAUCAGGACUGGCCUCCCCAUUGCAUUGGAAGUGUUUUGAUUUUGUUUCCUUUGCAGAGCACAACAGAUUUUGAAACUUCAGAAGUUGCCAUGAAACAAACUCUCUGUUUGCCAGCCAGCUCUCUCUGCGGGUCAUGGCUAGCCCUUGCUUAAACCUUUUGAAGUCAGAAAUAACACAGAAGAAGCCUCUGUCUCUGCACAGAUUUGUAUGGAGAAAUGUGACUUGUGAUCAUCUUUUGAAACAAACUUAACUAUUGGGUUUAUUACUUUCCAUGUUCCGUCCCUCCUUACUCUCAAAGAUCUGCGAAAAGCACCACACCUUACAUAUGGGAAGUGAGCUGCUGCGGUGUGGCAUGCAAUGUGAGCAUGGCAGUGCCCUCUGCUUCUCAUUCCCAGGAGCAGGGGAUGCCAUCUGCCAAUUUUUUUUUUUUUUAAACCAGGCUCAGGGUUUGAUCUAAGAGAGAAUUAUAAUUUCAGUGUCUGAUUCAGAAUGCACCGCCACUGCUGAAUAUUUAUAAAUAAAGGACUUUUUCCAAAUCAA